RNAcentral lists this ribosomal RNA (331 nucleotides) under uncultured Chloroflexota bacterium. Its description in RNAcentral is "bacterial SSU rRNA". It matches the Rfam family "Bacterial small subunit ribosomal RNA", at positions 28 to 351 of the family's 1533-position model. Lineage: Bacteria; Bacillati; Chloroflexota. The record is from RNAcentral.
GAUAAACGCUGGCGGCGUGCCUAAUACAUGCAAGUCGAACGAGGGGUUCUUGUAGCAAUACGAGGACUUCCUAGUGGCGAAUGGGUGAGUAACGCGUUGGUGACCUGCCCCAAAGAGAGGAAUAACUCCGGGAAACUGGAGCUAAUACCUCAUGUGGUUGCGAGAGUUAAAGGUCUCGCAUCUAAAGGAGAAAUCCACUUUGGGAGGGGCCUGCGUCCCAUCAGCUAGUUGGUAGGGUAAUGGCCUACCAAGGCUACGACGGGUAGGGGGCCUGAGAGGGUGGCCCCCCACACUGGCACUGAAACACGGGCCAGACACCUACGGGAGGCUG